CCUACGGGAGGCAGCAGUGGGGAAUAUUGGACAAUGGGGGGAACCCUGAUCCAGCCAUGCCGCGUGUGUGAAGAAGGCCCUCGGGUUGUAAAGCACUUUCAGUGAGGAAGAACGCCUGGUGGUUAAUACCCAUCAGGAAAGACAUCACUCACAGAAGAAGCACCGGCUAACUCCGUGCCAGCAGCCGCGGUAAUACGGAGGGUGCGAGCGUUAAUCGGAAUUACUGGGCGUAAAGCGCGCGUAGGUGGCUUGAUAAGCCGGUUGUGAAGCCCCGGGCUCAACCUGGGAACGGCAUCCGGAACUGUCGAGCUAGAGUGCAGGAGAGGAAGGUAGAAUUCCCGGUGUAGCGGUGAAAUGCGUAGAGAUCGGGAGGAAUACCAGUGGCGAAGGCGGCCUUCUGGACUGACACUGACACUGAGGUGCGAAAGCGUGGGUAGCAAACAGGAUUAGAUACCCGGGUAGUC
This 464-nucleotide ribosomal RNA is filed under the name Vreelandella stevensii. RNAcentral's name for it is "partial 16S ribosomal RNA". It matches the Rfam family "Bacterial small subunit ribosomal RNA", at positions 338 to 795 of the family's 1533-position model. The record is from RNAcentral. Lineage: Bacteria; Pseudomonadati; Pseudomonadota; Gammaproteobacteria; Oceanospirillales; Halomonadaceae.